This 65-nucleotide transfer RNA is filed under the name marine eukaryotic metagenome. It matches the Rfam family "tRNA", at positions 5 to 66 of the family's 71-position model. Rfam says of the family: Transfer RNA (tRNA) molecules are approximately 80 nucleotides in length. Their secondary structure includes four short double-helical elements and three loops (D, anti-codon, and T loops). Further hydrogen bonds mediate the characteristic L-shaped molecular structure. tRNAs have two regions of fundamental functional importance: the anti-codon, which is responsible for specific mRNA codon recognition, and the 3' end, to which the tRNAs corresponding amino acid is attached (by aminoacyl-tRNA synthetases). tRNAs cope with the degeneracy of the genetic code in two manners: having more than one tRNA (with a specific anti-codon) for a particular amino acid; and 'wobble' base-pairing, i.e. permitting non-standard base-pairing at the 3rd anti-codon position. The record is from RNAcentral.
CCGUAGCUCAGUUGGUAGAGCAAUGGUUUCGUAAACCAUAGGUCAGGAGUUCGAUUCUCCUCGGU